Molecule: ribosomal RNA, 118 nt
Filed under: Petromyzon marinus (sea lamprey)
Lineage: Eukaryota; Metazoa; Chordata; Hyperoartia; Petromyzontiformes; Petromyzontidae
Source: RNAcentral
ACCCCUGAUCAAAUCACCCAGAAAGCACCGGGUCUCAUCAGAUUUCGGAAGCUAAGCAAGAUUGAGCCUUGGUAGUACUUGGAUAAGUGGCCAGCAUGCAUAACAGGCGUUAUAGAUG